AUGGUACGGUCGAUGAGACCCUUCGUCCUGGUGCUUUUGAUCACUGUCAGUGGUUUGAGCUUGUUGCUCCCAUGCCCGCCAGCCGUCGCGGCGGCGCGCGAGAGCCUCGUCCGGGGCGCCUCUAUUGCCGUCGAGGACUAUGCCACCGACUUCCUGCGCUCGCCGGGCGGCACCUUCGCCUGCGGCUUCUACCGCGUCUCCUCCACCGUUUUCACCUUCUCCAUCUGGUUCACGCGCGCCAAGGAACGCUCCGUCGUCUGGACCGCCGAUCGCACGCGGCCUGUCCACAGCACGGGCUCGCGCCUCACGCUAGAUAAGCGCGGUGGCGCGCUCAUCCUCACCGACUACGACGGCGAGCCGGUGUGGAACUCCACCGUGGCCGGCGCUCCGACGGCCUCGCGCGCCCAGCUCCGCGACACCGGCAACCUCGUCGUGGAGGACGCCGACGGGAGAGCGCUCUGGCAGAGCUUCCACUUCCCCACGGACACGCUGCUGCCCACGCAGCGCCUCACCGCGACGACUCGCCUGGUGUCGUCGCGCGACGACAGGCUGCUCUCCUCCGGCUACUACAGCCUCGGGUUCAGCGACUACGCCAUGCUCUCCCUCUUCUACGACAACGGCAACUUCUCCAGCAUCUACUGGCCCAACCCCUACAACAACUACGUCGCCAACAACCGCAGGAUCUACAACUUCACCCGCGAGGCCGCCAUGGACGCGCUCGGCAACUUCCUCUCGAGCGACAACGCCAACUUCCAGGCGGCCGACCUCGCCGCCGCCGGUGUCCGGAGGCGGCUCACGCUCGACGCCGACGGCAACCUCAGGGCGUACAGCCUGGACGCGGCGACGGGGACGUGGGCGGUGUCGUGGAUGGCGUUCCGCAACCCCUGCACCAUCCACGGCGUCUGCGGCGCCAACGCGGUGUGCCUCUACGCGCCGGCGCCUUCGUGCGCCUGCGCGCCGGGGCACGAGCGAACCGACCCCGGCGACUGGACCAGGGGGUGCCGGCCGACUUUCCGGCAGCGCCAGUGCGGGAAGCCGACGCGGACGCCGACGAGGCUGAUGGCACUGCCGCACUCCGACUUCUGGGGCUACGACCUCAACGACGGCGAGAUCAUGCCGUUGGCGGAGUGCGCCAGGAGGUGCCGCACCAACUGCGCAUGCGUCGCGUUCCAGCACAAGGCCAACAUGGAGUGCUACCUCAAAAGCGUCCUCUUCAACGGCAGGACGUUCCCCGGCUUGCCGGGGACGGUGUACAUCAAGGUCCCGGUCGACUUCGUCGUCCCGGAGUUCCACGUCCACCAAUGGCAAGCGCACGUACACGGCGGCCUUGCCAUCCUUGAGGAGAACAUCACCGGCUGCGGCGACCGCGCCGCUCAGGAGGUCCUCCUCAACGCCUCCGCCUUGUCACACAAGCACGUCGGUGACGCCGCGGGGAAACCGGUGUGGCCGUACCUGUACGGGUUCCUGUCGGCGCUGCUCGUCGUGGAGGCCGUUGUCAUUGGGCUCGGCUGCCUGCUCUUCUCCAGGAAGGGACUGUUCACGCGGUCUUCCCCGGUGUACCCCAUGGACGAAGGCUACAGACUCAUCCUCCUCACCACAAGUUUCCAGAGAUACAGCUACGCUGCGAUCAAGAAGGCCACGGGGAACUUCGCCGACGAGAUCGGCCGCGGCGGGUCUGGCGUGGUGUACAGGGGCGUUCUCGACGACGGCCGGAUCGUGGCCGUCAAGGCGCUGACGACGAGCGUGAGCCGCUCCCACGGGGAGGAGGAGUUCCAGGCGGAGCUGAGCGUGAUCGGCAGGAUCUACCACAAGAACCUGGUGAGGAUCAUCGGCUGCUGCUCCCAAGGCAAGCACCGCAUCCUCGUCUCCGAGUUCAUCGAGAACCGCUCGCUCGCCACGAUGUUGUUCUUGGACGAAGACGGCGACGGUGACGGCGGCGAUGAUCACGACGACGUCCUCGGGUGGAGCCAGCGGUUCCGGAUCGCCGUCGGCGUGGCCAGGGGCCUCGCCUAUCUGCACAGCGAGUGCCUCGAGUGGAUCAUCCACUGCAACAUGAAGCCGGAGAACAUAUUGCUGGACCGUGAUCUGGAGCCCAAGAUCACCGACUUCGGGCUCGCCAAGCUGCUGGACCGCCGCCCCCUCGGGUCCGCCUCUCGCCUAGUGCGGGAGGCGAACCCGUCGCGGCGGAUCAGGGGGACGAGGGGGUACAUGGCGCCGGAAUGGGUGUCGAGCCUGGCCAUCAGCGACAAGGUCGACGUGUACAGCUUCGGCGUGGUGCUGCUGGAGCUGGUGAAAGGGGUCAGGGUGGCGGACGGCGACCAGAAUACGGACGUCAGGGCCGUGGCCAAGGCUGUGAGCGAAAAGAUGCAUUCCGGCAGCGUGGAUGAUCUUGUGGAUGGCCGGCUCGCCGGCGACUUUAACCGCGCGCAGGUGAAGGUGGUGGUUGGUGUUGCCUUGUCGUGCUUGGAGGAGGACAGGAACCGGCGGCCGAGCAUGAGCGCGGUGGUGCAGGCGCUCGUCUCCGUUGAAGAUGCGUGA
RNAcentral lists this ribosomal RNA (2538 nucleotides) under Triticum aestivum (bread wheat). RNAcentral describes it as "partial small subunit ribosomal RNA". The record is from RNAcentral. Lineage: Eukaryota; Viridiplantae; Streptophyta; Magnoliopsida; Poales; Poaceae.